GUGGGUCUCAUGGGUCCACUAUUUGGGCCCUUGUCCUCUGAACCGAAAGACCGUUUGAGGGCUAAAACAAGCUCAAGCGGGAUAGGCAAGGCGUCCAUAACCACAAGCAAGCAAGAAUUGGGUCAGCAACUUCAGCAAAACCAUAGAUAAGAUCCCGUUGGAGCGUGUAGUUUCCUAUCACUUGACAAGUCCACACCACACCUACUUUUAUUUCACUUCUAUUAAUAGGAGGUUUCCAAGUGAAAAGAAGAGGGGCGAGGCAACACAAAGGCAAGAGAUGAGACUGAUGAAGGAAGCAUAACCAUGGAAGGUAGCUUUUAGAACGCAUG
This 329-nucleotide long non-coding RNA is filed under the name Manihot esculenta (cassava). Its description in RNAcentral is "long non-coding RNA (MESC_LNC002790)". Lineage: Eukaryota; Viridiplantae; Streptophyta; Magnoliopsida; Malpighiales; Euphorbiaceae. The record is from RNAcentral.